UACGUAGGUGGCGAGCGUUGUCCGGAAUUACUGGGGUGUAAAGGGCGUGUAGGCGGGGAUGCAAGUCAGAUGUGAAAUACCGAGGCUUAACUUCGGGGGGUGCAUCUGAAACUGUAUUUCUUGAGUGUCGGAGAGGAAAGUGGAAUUCCUAGUGUAGCGGUGAAAUGCGUAGAUAUUAGGAGGAACACCAGUGGCGAAGGCGACUUUCUGGACGAUAACUGACGCUGAGGCGCGAAAGCGUGGGGAGCAAACAGGAUUAGAUACCCCCGUAGUCCCUGA
Molecule: ribosomal RNA, 279 nt
Filed under: uncultured prokaryote
Description: partial 16S ribosomal RNA
Rfam family: Bacterial small subunit ribosomal RNA
Source: RNAcentral